CCCGCGCUCCGGCUUGGCAUGACUUUUGGCUUGGUUUCUUCCGCCAAGCCGGCCAGUUUCUCCUGCCGAGCCGUCUGCUGCGCAGAUUCACAUUGGGGAAGUGAUAAACAGUUCGCUAUUAGGGAGCCAGUAUAUUUCUGGACUUCACUAAACCCACGAGGAACGUGAGUUUUGCUUCCUUCGACUGCAAAGCAUUUGCUAGGCCAGUACAGACUUCCUGGUGUGAUUCGUGUUCUGUGCUGCGUGCCGAGAAUGCGUGAGCGUUUUGCUCCCGUCUGCAAGAACACUUCAGCAUGCAGUUCCAAUGUUUCAAACCACAAUUUUCCGAAAGGUGAAAGAGAAAUCUAUUGACUGCAACAAUCGGUUACAACUCCGACUGGGUGCCACCUUCGAAAGCAGUGAUCUGUUCAUCUGGCUCAUACGAAUGUUACGGAAGCAAUGCGCAACUUGUUUCACAAGAAGCCGAAGAUGUCUCGUCCGGGAUGCCGUGCCAACCUUAUCUGCAGCUGGAGAUUGCAGGGGCAGGACUAGGCAGCAGAUAAAGGCAUUCUGGCACCACCGAAAAGCUUGCACACCACGUCUCAACUAUCACCGUCUGUGUUUCAAUCUGAAGGCUGUCACCAGUGCCAACCAGACGCCCCUUCAAAGUUCAUCUGUUUUUGUUGACGGAACAGUGACACCUGGUAAACCUGUCACGCAGAUGCCCUACCCCUUGGUAUGCAUAGUUCAAGAUUGUACCGAAACAAUCCACCUGGAGCAUUAUUCACCUAAUGUAGAGUAACUCAACAAAAUUAUACGGCGCAGCAUGAUCUUUGAUAUCCUUGCGCCAGUAAACUCAAAUCAAAUCAAAUCAAAAUCAAUGCAUCAAACCUAUUCUCAUGUACAGACCAGCUGGUACGCAACUACAACAUGAAACAACUGACACAGAGACUGUAAAGUCAUGCCUUUUCCUCCACGCCUCGGGUUUCAUGUUAUUAUCCUCACAUGCAGCUCAAUUCGCCUGUGCUGUGCAGCAUGAGCAAAAGCAUAUAUUGUUUGUGGUCACAUGACACGGAACAUAAAUACAGUGAAACCUUCCUAUGUUGGACACCCGCAGUGCAACCGAAGCGUCUCCUACGUAUAGAGGUGUCCGAGUUACAGAAUAUGACGGCAACAAAAAAUGGAAGAGAUCACAGCUGUGAGAAAUGUCCCCCUUCUUGAAUUUAAGGUCCUUAGUGGUACCUGGUGGUGGUGCCUGGUAGUGGUACCACUACCCACUCUUCACUGAUAAUUAUUACUGAUUUUACUAUAUUCAAUUCCGUUCAGAUUCUACUCAAUGGCAUUACAUCCGGAGCUUUUCGAGCAGCAAGGACUUGUCUCUGAAGCAUCAGCCUACUUCUCAUAGCUUUGGUGCAGUGCUCGUUCAAAGGCUCUAGACAAACUGAAGACAAGUGCUCACGUAAAGAAUUACAAUGUAGACUGACAGCACUUGUUUUUGGACUCGAAAAACUAAAGCAACAAAAUGCUGAGACCAGAAUAGGGGAAAAAAGGGGCAAAAGUCAAGGCCACUGGCUCAUUUUGGGUCUUUUUGGUGCAAAGAUGGGCCAACAUUGAGGUAAUUUGGCCAGGGUUUUGUCAGACUUUGCAGGGAAAACCCUAUCCUACUUCCAAGAUAGGGAGGUGUCCGACAUAGAGAAUUUCGUCCCCAUGUAGUUUCAAUGGGAGCCUGCCCGUGCAAUGAAAUCAUGGGGAGUUGUCCGAGGUAGGGAGGUGUCCGACUUUGGAGGUUUUACUGUACUACAGAGGAUUCUACAUCUAGUAAUCUAACAGUUGUUCACGUUUGGAUAUUUUAACCAUGGAAUUUACCCUGCAUGCACAAUACGAUGUCGAAACACUAACAACUGCUAGAGAGCAGCAUGUACUGUUUCCGUAUAGCACUUAUGGCGUGCAUCCUGUGACCGGAAACAGUGGUGUCUUUUUUCUGCUACAACCAGUAAACUACAGUAAAGAUUUAGAAAUACUGUGUCAUACCAUAAAGCACUAUGGGAAAUGGCAGUUUGAAAAACUGGAGAAGACUGUCAUUAGAAUGGGGGACAUGUUCUACGGUGAAAUUUCUUACAGUGUGUGCUGUACCACGUAAUGCACUGCAGGCCUACCACAGUAUGGUAACGCGCUGAAUACUGAUUUGCUCAAAAAAGGAAUGUGUACGUUUCUUGUACUAACUUCCCAUUAUGCAAAGUAGUAGAAAAAUGUUCUCAGCCAAUGGGGAGGGAGAGGACAUCAUUCUGGAGUCUCGUUGACCUAUAAUGUGUCGUGUGUGAAUGUCAUUUUGAAGAGUGUAGGUGGUACAAGACUGUCUUCCCACAUUCUUGGCAGUGUUGACUAAUAACCAUAAUAAAGUAGAGGGUACAUUUGUUGCUUCAUAUAUUUGUGUCAUGGCAAAGCAUGUAGAGAUACAUCUUCCUCAACAUGCAGGUGACAAAACUGCUUUUUAUGCCUAAACUAUGACAAAUAGUUGUGUGUUCAGCACCACUAAUCAUGUGCCGGCCUCCAUCACAUGUCUGUGACAUUCCAAAGUGAUUAACAUGUCCCAUAUAUGUGUGCAAUGCUGAAGAUGACUGUGUACCUUCCAUGGAUUCUUGAUUCAAGAAAAGUACUGUGUGAUUUGCUAACAGCACCUGGCUGUACCUUCACAAUUCUACAUAAAAAUAUGUAAAGUUUGCCGAAGGAAACAUCAUGAAGGUCCAUAGCGAAAAACCUUGAGACGAGGGAUAGGAAGGGACAUACACAAUGUCUCAACAUAGCGUGUUUAUGUCCCUUUUUGUAUCUCCUCUUCAGGUCUCGCCAUUAUGGACACUAUCACCAGCUCGCUUGCUGUUGAACCGUUCUUUCAACGAUAAGGGUCACUUUCAUGGACUGGAUGGCAGCCAACAUGCUGUCAAUAAAAAGAAUAAUGGAAGGAGCUCAAUAUGAUCCUUAGGCUGUGUGUGGUCAUUGCUUUCUGAUAAAUGGUGACUUAGAAUUUCAGGACAGUGCUUGCAGUUGUAGUAUUCUUGUGUUCUCACCCUUGAUGCCCAUUGUGUGUCAUCGGUCACCCGUAAUCUGCUAAUAUGCACAUAGCUCAAACAAAGUAUAUUUGUAUUUCUUUGAAUACAGUUGGUACAGCACAUUGUUUUUUACAUGUUCUUUGGAAAAUAUAAAUAAAUUAUCUACUCUGCAAGUCUCCUGUCAGCUCUACAGAGCAGCUUCAAAUUUCACUAGAAGCCACGUGUGAAGCCUAGACCAAACUAGUGGUGAAGGUCCGUAUA
Molecule: long non-coding RNA, 3287 nt
Organism: Ornithodoros turicata
Lineage: Eukaryota; Metazoa; Arthropoda; Arachnida; Ixodida; Argasidae
Exons: 3
Source: RefSeq, a predicted model, not a curated record